GACGAACGCUGGCGGCGUGGAUUAGGCAUGCAAGUCGAACGGCAGCACGGGAGCAAUCCUGGUGGCGAGUGGCGAACGGGUGAGUAAUGCAUCGGAACGUGCCAUUGAGUGGGGGAUAACGUAGCGAAAGUUACGCUAAUACCGCAUAUUCUGUGCGCAGGAAAGCAGGGGAUCGCAAGACCUUGCGCUCUUUGAGCGGCCGAUGUCAGAUUAGCUAGUUGGUGGGGUAAAGGCUCACCAAGGCGACGAUCUGUAGCGGGUCUGAGAGGAUGAUCCGCCACACUGGGACUGAGACACGGCCCAGACUCCUACGGGAGGCAGCAGUGGGGAAUUUUGGACAAUGGGGGCAACCCUGAUCCAGCCAUGCCGCGUGAGUGAAGAAGGCCUCGGUUGUAAAGCUCUUCGGUCCGGGAAGGAAAUACGCACAGGUUAAUAACCCUCGUGUGGAGUGACGGUACCGGACGUAAGAAGCACCGGCUAACUAACGUGC
Molecule: ribosomal RNA, 490 nt
Filed under: uncultured bacterium
Lineage: Bacteria
Description: bacterial SSU rRNA
Rfam family: Bacterial small subunit ribosomal RNA
Source: RNAcentral